This 452-nucleotide ribosomal RNA is filed under the name uncultured Actinobacteridae bacterium. Its description in RNAcentral is "bacterial SSU rRNA". It matches the Rfam family "Bacterial small subunit ribosomal RNA", at positions 1081 to 1533 of the family's 1533-position model. The record is from RNAcentral. Lineage: Bacteria; Bacillati; Actinomycetota; Actinomycetes.
GUNGUCCGCACGAGCGCACCCCCGAUCGUAUGUUGCCAGCAUUUAGUUGGGGACUCAUGCGAGACUGCCGGUGGCAAACCGGAGGAAGGUGGGGAUGACGUCAAGUCAUCAUGCCCCUUAUGUCCAGGGCUACACACGUGCUACAUUGGCGUAUACAAAGGGUUGCGAUACCGCGAGGUGGAGCGAAUCUCACAAAGUACGUCUCGGUUCGGAUUGCAGGCUGAAACUCGCCUGCAUGAAGGUGGAGUUGCUAGUAAUCGUGGAUCAGCAAUGCCGCGGUGAAUACGUUCCCGGGCCCUGUACACACCGCCCGUCACACCACGGGAGUGAGCAACACCCGAAGCCGGUGGCCUAACCCGCAAGGGAGGGAGCCGUCGAAGGUGGGGCUCGUGACUGGGGUGAAGUCGUAACAAGGUAGCCGUACCGGAAGGUGCGGCUGGAUCACCUCCUUU